UACGUAGGGAGCAAGCGUUAUCCGGAUUUACUGGGUGUAAAGGGCGCGUAGGCAGGAGUGCAAGUCAGAUGUGAAAUCUGGGGGCUCAACCCCCAAACUGCAUUUGAAACUGUAUUUCUUGAGUGAUGGAGAGGCAAGUGGAAUUCCUAGUGUAGCGGUGAAAUGCGUAGAUAUUAGGAGGAACACCAGUGGCGAAGGCGACUUGCUGGACAUUAACUGACGCUGAGGCGCGAAAGCGUGGGGAGCAAACAGG
Molecule: ribosomal RNA, 253 nt
Filed under: uncultured prokaryote
Description: partial 16S ribosomal RNA
Rfam family: Bacterial small subunit ribosomal RNA
Source: RNAcentral